UACGGAGGGUGCAAGCGUUGUUCGGAAUUAUUGGGCGUAAAGCGCGUGUAGGCGGCUUUCUAAGUCUGGUGUGAAAUCCCGGGGCUUAACUCCGGAAGUGCACUGGAUACUGGAUAGCUAGAGGACGGAAAAGGAGAGUGGAAUUCCUGGUGUAGGGGUGAAAUCCGUAGAUAUCAGGAGGAACAUCAGAGGCGAAGGCGACUCUCUAGUCCGUUUCUGACGCUGAGACGCGAAAGCGUGGGGAGCAAACAGG
This 253-nucleotide ribosomal RNA is filed under the name uncultured bacterium. Its description in RNAcentral is "partial 16S ribosomal RNA". It matches the Rfam family "Bacterial small subunit ribosomal RNA", at positions 524 to 776 of the family's 1533-position model. The record is from RNAcentral.